AGUGAACGCUGGCGGUAGGCCUAACACAUGCAAGUCGAACGGCAGCACAGUAAGAGCUUGCUCUUACGGGUGGCGAGUGGCGGACGGGUGAGGAAUACAUCGGAAUCUACUUUUUCGUGGGGGAUAACGUAGGGAAACUUACGCUAAUACCGCAUACGACCUACGGGUGAAAGCAGUGGAUCUUCGGACCUUGCGCGAUUGAAUGGGCCGAUGUCGGAUUAGCUAGUUGGCGGGGUAAAGGCCCACCAAGGCGACGAUCCGUAGCUGGUCUGAGAGGAUGAUCAGCCACACUGGAACUGAGACACGGUCCAGACUCCUACGGGAGGCAGCAGUGGGGAAUAUUGGACAAUGGGCGCAAGCCUGAUCCAGCCAUACCGCGUGGGUGAAGAAGGCCUUCGGGUUGUAAAGCCCUUUUGUUGGGAAAGAAAAGCAGCAGGUUAAUACCCCGCUGUUCUGACGGUACCCAAAGAAUAAGCACCGGCUAACUUCGUG
This 492-nucleotide ribosomal RNA is filed under the name uncultured bacterium. RNAcentral describes it as "partial 16S ribosomal RNA". It matches the Rfam family "Bacterial small subunit ribosomal RNA", at positions 29 to 507 of the family's 1533-position model. The record is from RNAcentral.